Molecule: transfer RNA, 74 nt
Filed under: Loranthus lambertianus
Lineage: Eukaryota; Viridiplantae; Streptophyta; Magnoliopsida; Santalales; Loranthaceae
Description: tRNA-His
Source: RNAcentral
UGGAUUGUGAAUCCACCAUGCGCGGGUUCAAUUCCCGUCGUUCGCCGUGGAUGUAGCCAAGUGGAUCAAGGCAG